CGCGGGAUGGAGCAGCGGCAGCUCGUCGGGCUCAUAACCCGAAGGUCGGGGGUUCGAAUCCCUCUCCCGCUACCA
Molecule: transfer RNA, 75 nt
Filed under: Dehalococcoidia bacterium
Lineage: Bacteria; Bacillati; Chloroflexota; Dehalococcoidia
Description: tRNA-Met
Rfam family: tRNA
About the family: Transfer RNA (tRNA) molecules are approximately 80 nucleotides in length.
Source: RNAcentral